This 1381-nucleotide ribosomal RNA is filed under the name Salmonella enterica. RNAcentral's name for it is "partial 23S ribosomal RNA". It matches the Rfam family "Bacterial large subunit ribosomal RNA", at positions 1568 to 2925 of the family's 2925-position model. The record is from RNAcentral. Lineage: Bacteria; Pseudomonadati; Pseudomonadota; Gammaproteobacteria; Enterobacterales; Enterobacteriaceae. RNAcentral also lists the same sequence under 2 other names.
GACGAGGCACUACGGUGCUGAAGCAACAAAUGCCCUGCUUCCAGGAAAAGCCUCUAAGCAUCAGGUAACAUCAAAUCGUACCCCAAACCGACACAGGUGGUCAGGUAGAGAAUACCAAGGCGCUUGAGAGAACUCGGGUGAAGGAACUAGGCAAAAUGGUGCCGUAACUUCGGGAGAAGGCACGCUGACACGUAGGUGAAGUGAUUUACUCACGGAGCUGAAGUCAGUCGAAGAUACCAGCUGGCUGCAACUGUUUAUUAAAAACACAGCACUGUGCAAACACGAAAGUGGACGUAUACGGUGUGACGCCUGCCCGGUGCCGGAAGGUUAAUUGAUGGGGUCAGCGCAAGCGAAGCUCCUGAUCGAAGCCCCGGUAAACGGCGGCCGUAACUAUAACGGUCCUAAGGUAGCGAAAUUCCUUGUCGGGUAAGUUCCGACCUGCACGAAUGGCGUAAUGAUGGCCAGGCUGUCUCCACCCGAGACUCAGUGAAAUUGAACUCGCUGUGAAGAUGCAGUGUACCCGCGGCAAGACGGAAAGACCCCGUGAACCUUUACUAUAGCUUGACACUGAACAUUGAGCCUUGAUGUGUAGGAUAGGUGGGAGGCUUUGAAGCGUGGACGCCAGUCUGCGUGGAGCCGACCUUGAAAUACCACCCUUUAAUGUUUGAUGUUCUAACGUGGACCCGUAAUCCGGGUUGCGGACAGUGUCUGGUGGGUAGUUUGACUGGGGCGGUCUCCUCCUAAAGAGUAACGGAGGAGCACGAAGGUUGGCUAAUCCUGGUCGGACAUCAGGAGGUUAGUGCAAUGGCAUAAGCCAGCUUGACUGCGAGCGUGACGGCGCGAGCAGGUGCGAAAGCAGGUCAUAGUGAUCCGGUGGUUCUGAAUGGAAGGGCCAUCGCUCAACGGAUAAAAGGUACUCCGGGGAUAACAGGCUGAUACCGCCCAAGAGUUCAUAUCGACGGCGGUGUUUGGCACCUCGAUGUCGGCUCAUCACAUCCUGGGGCUGAAGUAGGUCCCAAGGGUAUGGCUGUUCGCCAUUUAAAGUGGUACGCGAGCUGGGUUUAGAACGUCGUGAGACAGUUCGGUCCCUAUCUGCCGUGGGCGCUGGAGAACUGAGGGGGGCUGCUCCUAGUACGAGAGGACCGGAGUGGACGCAUCACUGGUGUUCGGGUUGUCAUGCCAAUGGCACUGCCCGGUAGCUAAAUGCGGAAGAGAUAAGUGCUGAAAGCAUCUAAGCACGAAACUUGCCCCGAGAUGAGUUCUCCCUGAGACUUAGAGUCUCCUGAAGGAACGUUGAAGACGACGACGUUGAUAGGCCGGGUGUGUAAGCGCAGCGAUGCGUUGAGCUAACCGGUACUAAUGAACCGUGAGGCUUAACCUU